UACGGAGGGUGCAAGCAUUACUCGGAUUUAUUGGGCGUAAAGGGCGCGUAGGCGGAUAGAUAAGUCAGAUGUGAAAUUCCAAGGCUCAACUUUGGAGCUGCAUUUGAAACUAUUUAUCUUGAGGGAUGGCGGAGAAAACGGAAUUCCACGUGUAGCGGUGAAAUGCGUAGAUAUGUGGAGGAACACCUGUGGCGAAAGCGGUUUUCUAGCUUAUACCUGACGCUGAGGCGCGAGAGCAAGGGGAGCAAACAGG
RNAcentral lists this ribosomal RNA (253 nucleotides) under uncultured bacterium. RNAcentral describes it as "partial 16S ribosomal RNA". It matches the Rfam family "Bacterial small subunit ribosomal RNA", at positions 524 to 776 of the family's 1533-position model. The record is from RNAcentral.